UACGUAGGGUGCGAGCGUUGUCCGGAAUUAUUGGGCGUAAAGGGCUCGUAGGCGGUUUGUCGCGUCGGGAGUGAAAACCCAGGGCUUAACCCUGAGCCUGCUUCCGAUACGGGCAGACUAGAGGUAUGCAGGGGAGAAUGGAAUUCCUGGUGUAGCGGUGAAAUGCGCAGAUAUCAGGAGGAACACCGGUGGCGAAGGCGGUUCUCUGGGCAUUACCUGACGCUGAGGAGCGAAAGUGUGGGGAGCGAACAGG
This 253-nucleotide ribosomal RNA is filed under the name uncultured bacterium. Its description in RNAcentral is "partial 16S ribosomal RNA". It matches the Rfam family "Bacterial small subunit ribosomal RNA", at positions 524 to 776 of the family's 1533-position model. The record is from RNAcentral.